Molecule: long non-coding RNA, 1562 nt
Filed under: Callithrix jacchus (white-tufted-ear marmoset)
Lineage: Eukaryota; Metazoa; Chordata; Mammalia; Primates; Cebidae
Description: lncRNA (ENSCJAG00000070132.1)
Source: RNAcentral
AUGAGAGAAAAGGAGAAAAUAGAGGUAACACUGGCAGCUUUACAGCAAAGAGUUUGCCCAUAUUGUUUCCUCUGCUUCCAACACCCCUCCCAUCAUUCACCACUUGGCCAACUCUCAAGCAUCCUCGGGGACGAAGCUCAGGUCCAGCCUUUAAGAAAGUCUUCUCGGACUCAAGAUGGUGCUGUGAGAACAACCCAGGAUUGGAGCUCCCGUUGAAUCCGCAAACGGUGAGUCUGAGCUGCAUUUACAGACUGAUCUUUGUUGCCCACAGAACGAGGAAACUCCCAAGUAUAAAAAAGACACGGGACGCCAGGCAGUAGGUCUGCCUGGCGAAGCCGGCAGCCGGGGCUGCGGCGGCCGGCCCUACCCAGCAAUCCCCACAGGGCGCGCUUGUCCGGGUGCCUUGUUGAACCGGCAACCUGAGACUUGAGAGGGCUGGACUUGAGACUGAACGAGACUUGGACAGAAGCCCAGCCCAGGGGAUUGUAGGGACAGAUCGUUUGGGAUACCCAGUGGAACGAACAAAACCGCGAUUUCAAACUAUCCCGAGCAGACGGCCCUAGACGCUCUGUGGGGGAGGGGCGUCCACCACUACCGAGGCAACCCGCCCCAACUGAGAUACACGCCCACUGCUGACGCAGCCAGCCGUUGCCGAGGCAACCCGCCCCAACUGAGAUACACGCCCACUGCUGACGCAGCCAGCCGUUGCCAAGGCAACCCACCCCAACUGAGAAACACACCCACUGCUGACGCAGCCAGCCGUUGCCGAGGCAACCCGUCCCUACUGAGAUACACGCCCACUGCUGACACAGCCUGCCGUUGCUGAGGCAACACGCUACAACGAAGAGACUCCGCCGCAGGGCGUGGCGGAGACCACAGCAGAGCCUGUAGGAACAGGGCGAAUCACACAACAGCAGGGCGGAGCCUCGGCAGCCAAACAGUGGCUAGUCUGCCUUCUAGCUGGGCAGGACACCUCAUCGAACAUCCAAAAAUAAAGCCCAAACCCCUCAACACAGAGCAUUUGAGGGAAAAAAAUUAAAAAAGGUUUUUUAAUGAGCUCUGUUGCAGCAGAAUCAAACAUAGCAGCCUAACAGCCCUGAAGGAACAAGAGAGCGCACAGCUCAGCAAUUAAACCUCUAUAAAGUACAAACUGUCUCCUCAAGCAGCUCCCUGACCCCUCUAUAUCCAAAAGACUGACAUUAGGCAGGCAUCAUCCUGGGACAAAGAGAGCAGAAAAAGAAACUGGUAGCAUCCCUCGCUGUGCCACAGCUGCUAGAGGUGCACCCCAGACAAGCAGGGUCUGGAGCGGACCUCAGCAGUCGUACAGUGAAGGGGCUAGACUGGUAGAAGAAAAAUCAAGCAACAGAAAUACUUCAUUAUCAACAUUCUGGGUGUCCACUCAGAGACCCAAUCGAAAAGUCAGCAACUACACAGACGACCAGCGGAAAAAUCCACAAAGAUGGGAAGAAACCAGAGCAAAAAGGAGGAAAACACCCGAAACCAGAACACCUAGCCUCCAAGAAAGGACCAAAACUCCUCACCAGAAAGGGAACAAAGCUGGA